Molecule: ribosomal RNA, 450 nt
Filed under: uncultured bacterium
Lineage: Bacteria
Description: partial 16S ribosomal RNA
Rfam family: Bacterial small subunit ribosomal RNA
Source: RNAcentral
GUGGGGAAUCUUCCGCAAUGGACGAAAGUCUGACGGAGCAACGCCGCGUGAGUGAAGAAGGUUUUCGGAUCGUAAAGCUCUUUCGUUAGGGACGAACGUGCUCUUUGUGAAUAAUGAGGAGUAAUGACGGUACCUAAAUAAGAAGCCACGGCUAACUACGUGCCAGCAGCCGCGGUAAUACGUAGGUGGCAAGCGUUGUCCGGAAUUAUUGGGCGUAAAGCGCGCGCAGGCGGGAUAUCAAGUCUGUCUUAAAAGUGCGAGGCUCAACCUCGUGAGGGAACAGAAACUGGUAUUCUUGAGUGUCGGAGAGGAAAGUGGAAUUCCAAGUGUAGCGGUGAAAUGCGUAGAGAUUUGGAAGAACACCAGUGGCGAAGGCGACUUUCUGGACGAUGUCUGACGCUGAGGCGCGAAAGCUAGGGGAGCGAACGGGAUUAGAUACCCUAGUAGUCC